This 325-nucleotide unclassified non-coding RNA is filed under the name Hevea brasiliensis (rubber tree). The record is from RNAcentral. Lineage: Eukaryota; Viridiplantae; Streptophyta; Magnoliopsida; Malpighiales; Euphorbiaceae.
GAAUUUUUCUACAGUGGGGUCUAAACACAAUUUUGUUGCCCCGCUAUGCAUGAAGUAAAGUGGCGGGGAGGCUCAACCUUGAAGCCAUAUUUCAAGUUCAUAGAAACAAGAGUUUCAAGGCAUAAGAGUUCUCAUAGGUUUACUUUUCUUCUAACUUACGGUUUCAACACUUAAUCUCAUGCAUUCAAGCCAUGCUUUCAUUGCUGUAUCUGAAUACUUAAUUUCAACACUAAUUUUGGCGCAGCCACUUGUUACAUUUUUUGGGUUAACGACACCACAAGCUGUUAGAUGAUAUGCCUCUGUGAUUCAUUUAACUAGUCUUUUU